GGCGGGGUAGAGCAGCGCGGUACAGCUCAUCGGGCUCAUGACCCGGAGGUCAGUGGUUCGACCCCACUCCCCGCUC
This is a transfer RNA of Vitrella brassicaformis, 76 nucleotides long. It matches the Rfam family "tRNA". Rfam says of the family: Transfer RNA (tRNA) molecules are approximately 80 nucleotides in length. Their secondary structure includes four short double-helical elements and three loops (D, anti-codon, and T loops). The record is from Rfam. Lineage: Eukaryota; Vitrellaceae.